AAGCCCAGCGCUGAAUCUCCCAGUCUUUGAUUGGCGAGAAAUGUGGCGUAUAGGUGUGACUGUCCGUCCCUUCCGCUCACCCAAAGUCCCCUUGAGUGGGGCUGCUCUCCAGAGAGGGUUCAAGGCCUGUACGGGUGGCAGUUGAGGCGGUCGGUUGCUCCUUGGAGUCGGGUUGCCUGAGAUCGCAGCCCAAAGAGGGUGGUAAACCUCAUCUAAGGCUAAAUACGACCACGAGACCGAUAGCGAACAAGUACCGUGAGGGAAAGUUGCAAAGAACUUUGAAGAGAGGGUUAAAGAGGACGUGAAACCGCUAAGAAGGAAACGGAUAGAGUUGACGUAACGCGGCAGCAUUCAGGCGGUUGGGCCAGCGGACCUGUGGCUGUCGUCCUCGAUGAGGCUACGGUAAUGGGUUCCUGCAGGUUCGACCACUGCAUUUGCUGCCGGUAUGCGCCGAGAGUCGCGCUGGCGCCGGAACAACCGUGUGCAGAGGGCCACCCCGGUGGAAACCUGUGCGCGGGAAGGCCGGUCGCUGGUGCGGUUCGCAAGGCUUACUAUCUCCGCUUUUGUGCGCUGUUUGUGGCCCGGUUGGCUGCUUCGUGAGCGGUCGCGUGCGACCUGUUCGCGGAGCGUGCUUGUCGUGUUGCUGCAGUGCGCUGGGAUGGUGUCUCGGUGUGAAAGUCGACCACCUAUCCGACCCGUCUU
Molecule: ribosomal RNA, 702 nt
Filed under: Dichelyne szidati
Lineage: Eukaryota; Metazoa; Nematoda; Chromadorea; Rhabditida; Cucullanidae
Description: partial large subunit ribosomal RNA
Rfam family: Eukaryotic large subunit ribosomal RNA
Source: RNAcentral